GAAUGUGAGGGGGGUGGUUAGGGUCGGGUGCCCUUGUCCUCCCUCACUGCUCCAUGUGUGUCUCUCCAGAAUAAAUGCUUCGUCUGAGAGGAUGGUCUUCUCUGGUAACUAGAGGAGGACCAGUCUGGGUCAAGGGUACAGUACAGUGGCUGCACACAUGCAUUCAGGGAUGUUAAAGAAGGCAGUGAUGGCAAAGAAAUGGCUGUCAAGAAAUGGCUGUCUUU
Molecule: unclassified non-coding RNA, 224 nt
Organism: Cricetulus griseus (Chinese hamster)
Lineage: Eukaryota; Metazoa; Chordata; Mammalia; Rodentia; Cricetidae
Gene: 7SK
Rfam family: 7SK RNA
About the family: 7SK was discovered as an abundant small nuclear RNA in the mid-70s but a possible function has only recently been suggested. Two independent studies have found that 7SK RNA binds the CDK9/cyclin T complex (known as elongation factor P-TEFb). P-TEFb activates transcription by phosphorylating the C-terminal domain of RNA polymerase II.
Source: Ensembl